Long non-coding RNA from Danaus plexippus (monarch butterfly), 398 nucleotides. RefSeq lists it as uncharacterized. The record is from RefSeq and is a predicted model, not a curated record. The transcript has 3 exons. Lineage: Eukaryota; Metazoa; Arthropoda; Insecta; Lepidoptera; Nymphalidae.
UUGUUAUGCAUACUAGUUUAACAUGUACAUAUGUAAUAGGAAAAUCGAUCUCUGUAAGAUGAGAUUCAGUACAUGCGCAGCUGCUUUUUCAUUCUCCUUCCACAAACUACGCAAUCUGUAUUGUGCCUGGUUAAGUUGAAAUAAAAAAUAAUGGAUGAAUUUCGGGAUUUCCACUAAAAACAAUAUUCGAGACAAAUAUUAGAAAAGAAAUGGAGAAACAAAAGUGAAAUACUUGGUAUUACAUCCACAUAAAAGUAAAAGAGGACACUGAACCUAAAAAUCUUCUACACAGUUACUUAUAAUAUUGUUAGUUGGCAGUAUAAGUACAGUUUGCUGUUAUGAAACCAGCUUCAAUUCCGACGAUGUCUACAAAAUUUUAAAAAAAGGAAGAUUAAAAA